Molecule: ribosomal RNA, 317 nt
Filed under: uncultured bacterium
Lineage: Bacteria
Description: bacterial SSU rRNA
Rfam family: Bacterial small subunit ribosomal RNA
Source: RNAcentral
GAGUUUGAUCAUGGCUCAGAUUGAACGCUGGCGGCAUGCCUUACACAUGCAAGUCGAACGGCAGCACGGGAGCAAUCCUGGUGGCGAGUGGCGAACGGGUGAGUAAUAUAUCGGAACGUGUCCAUGAGUGGGGGAUAGCCCGGCGAAAGCCGGAUUAAUACCGCAUAAGACCUGAGGGUGAAAGCGGGGGAUCUUCGGACCUCGCGCUGAUGGAGCGGCCGAUAUCAGAUUAGGUAGUUGGUGAGGUAAAGGCUCGCCAAGCCUGCGACCUGUAGCUGGUCUGAGAGGAUGGCCAGCCACACUGGGACUGAGACACG